UACGCAGGUGGCAAGCGUUAUCCGGAAUUAUUGGGCGUAAAGCGCGCGUAGGCGGUUUCUUAAGUCUGAUGUGAAAGCCCCCGGCUCAACCGGGGAGGGUCAUUGGAAACUGGGGAACUUGAGUGCAGAAGAGGAGAGUGGAAUUCCAUGUGUAGCGGUGAAAUGUGCAGAGAUAUGGAGGAACACCAGUGGCGAAGGCGGCUCUCUGGUCUGUAACUGACGCUGAUGUGCGAAAGCGUGGGGAUCAAACAGG
This 253-nucleotide unclassified non-coding RNA is filed under the name uncultured Staphylococcaceae bacterium. RNAcentral's name for it is "contains 16S-23S intergenic spacer region". It matches the Rfam family "Bacterial small subunit ribosomal RNA", at positions 524 to 776 of the family's 1533-position model. Lineage: Bacteria; Bacillati; Bacillota; Bacilli; Caryophanales; Staphylococcaceae. The record is from RNAcentral.